This 13504-nucleotide long non-coding RNA is filed under the name Homo sapiens (human). RNAcentral describes it as "HSALNT0399028". The record is from RNAcentral. Lineage: Eukaryota; Metazoa; Chordata; Mammalia; Primates; Hominidae.
CUUCCCUGUCUUGUUCCUGGGCGCAGAGGGCUCCUCCGGCGCCGCCGAGCUGCGCCCGCUGCCUUCACACCCCGGACAUCCGCGCCACACGUGAGUGUCCCCGCACCCCUCCCCCAGGACCGUGGAAGUCCCAGAUUCGGGCCUGCUCUGGGGCUUCUGGGGUCCCCAGCCUCGGUCACUCUGACGGGUGAAGGGAAGAAGAAAUGAUGGAGAAAACGGUGCUCCUUCAUGGAGGGACCAAAAAAGGACAUACAAUCUAUGUCAAUAGAUGAGGGUUUUCCCUCCAUAAGUUUAACUUUAAAAGUGUAUUUAAGGUGCCGGGCGCAGUGGCUCACACCUGUAAUCUCAGCACUUUGAGAGGCCGAGGCAGGCGGAUUGCCUGAGCUCAGGAGUUCCAGACCAGCCUGGGUAACACGGUGAAACCCCGUCUCUACUAAAAUACAAAAAAUUAGCCGGGCGUGGCAGCGUGCGCCUGUAAUCCCAGCUACUCGGGAGGUGGAGGCAGGAAAAUUGCUUGAACCUGGGAGGCAGAGGUUUCAGUGAGCCAAGAUUGCGCCACUGCACUCCAGCCCGGGUGACAGAGUGACACUCCGUCUCAAAAACAAACAAACAAAACAAAACUGUAAGGAAUCAAAUGUUACAAAAUCCUGGAAGAUUUUGGUAAUGCUGUUGAUAAUUUCAGGGAAAUUAAUGAAGUACAUGUAAGUGCUUGAUUUAAAUGUGUAUUUUAUUCAAUAGUUUGAGUAUCUUGCCAUGGAAGAUACUAGCCCAGCCUAGCAGAAAAGUGCAAUAUGUAUAAUAUACUUUCGCAUUUUAAAAGUUAUAUUCCCUAUCCAUUUUGAAAUGCUAGCCAAACUACAUGAAGUUAUUUGCAAUUAAUUGUAAGCUAAUCAGGAAUUUUGAAAGCUUGAUUGGAUUAACAAACUAUAAUGUUGAAAUUUGGUAAAAUCAUAAUGUUAAUUUUUACUGUGAAACGUUUUCUUGUAAGAUAGAUAUACACAUCCUAGUUUAAUUUUGUGUCUUAGUGUGGAUUUACAAAUUUACUACAGUUAUUCUGAGCCCAGGAACCCAAUCAGAUUUCAGGCCAGUUUGAUACUGGCUGUUCUUAAUUCUAACAGGAGAGUAGGACAUCAUACUAAAUGUUAUGUCAGUGGGACUGUGUUGUCUUUGGAGCUUAGUAAAUUAAUCAUUUUCUUCAGACUUUAAGGAGAGUGAUAAAUAAAAUUUGGAGUCAUAGGAUAUAGAUGUACAAUUUAAAGAUUAAACAUUUUUUUUUUUUUUGAGAUGGAGUUUUGCUCUUGUUGCCCAGGCUGGAAUGCAGUGGCAUGACCUGGACUCACUGCAAACUCCACCUCCCGGGUUAAAGCAAUUCUCCUGCCUCAGCCUCCCAAGUGGCUGGGAUUACAGGCAUGUGCCACCACAGCUGGCUAAUUUUGUAUUUUUAGUAGAGACAGGGUUUCUCCAUGUUGGCCAGGCUGCUCUUGAACUCCUGAUUUUGUGAUCCACCCGCCUUGGCCUCCCAAAGUGCUGUGAUUACAGGCGUGAGCCACCUUGCCUGGCCAAGAUUAAACAUUUUUCAUCAAUUGUGGAUGGUGGCUUAUAACACUGCAAGAAUAGGCUGGGCAUGGUGACUCACAAGUGUAAUCCCAGCACUUUGGGAGGCAGAGGCGGGCAGAUCACAAGGUCAGGAGGUCAAGACCAGCCCAGCCAACAUAGCAAAACCCGGUCUCUACUAAAAAUACGAAAAUUAGGUGGGCAUGGUGGCAUGCGCCUCUAAUACCAGCUACUCAGGAGGCUGAGGCAGGAGAACUGCCUGAACCCAGAAGGCGAAAGUUGCAGUGAGCUGAGACUGCACCACUGCACUCCGGCCUGCAAGAAUAAAAGUAAGUUAUCCAAAAAAAAAACAAAAAGGAGAAGAAAAGGGAGGAAUGAAGGAGAGAGAUGGGGUUGGGGGGCAGAGAUGAGAGAGAGAGAAAGAAGAAAAAAGAAGAAAGAAAAGAGAGAAAGAAGGAAGGAAGAAAGAAAGAAGGAAAGAGAAAGAAAGAAAGAGGAAGGAAGGCAGGAAAGAAAAGAAAGAAAGUGAAAGAAAAGAGAAAACGGUGCUCCCAGCAAAGGGUACGACCUCAAGAUCUGGAGGUCAGACCUGUGCCCUCACGCUCUGCUGGGCUCUGAGUCCUGGAGACGUCGAUGAGGAAAUCAGAGGGACAAACAGAGCUGGGGACGGCGGGGAUGGGGAGAAGGACACAUCAGCCGUGCGCCUGCGGGACCGGGGCCGGGGCGGGGGGUCCAGUAUGACGACUGACAUGGCCAGUAAUAAAACAAGGCAGCCACAGAGCUGCAGGGAUCUGAACAAGAAAACCUGGGGCCAGCCUCCCUGCUGCCGACCACCACGCUACACGUGACCUACGGGCUUGCGUCCGUGGGAAAUAAGCCGAAAUUCCAGGCGUCCCCAGACCCUCGACCACCGAUCGCCUGCUCCCCGCCGGGGUAGGCGAUGGGGGCUGAACCAAGGCCCAGAGCGCCGCCGUCGGACGCCCAAGGAAAGAGGGGAAAGACAGGAGGCCCCGAGGGGCACUGAACCCGCGCCCGCCCUCGCUGGUGCCCCGCCAGCUCACCGUCCACGUGCAGCUCCAAGCGCUCGCUGGGCGCGGAGCCCCCGAAAGGCGGCUUCAGGUCCACGUAGACGCAGCUGUAGUUGGCGGAGUCAGCCACGGAAAUGUUGUGCAGCUCGAAGAGCGCCUCGGUCCCAGCGGGGCUCUGGAAACGGUGCACGCGGCGCCCGCCCCUGUCCUCGCGCACCAGGGCGAAGCGCGCGCCCUCCAGGGGCGCCAGGCACCGCAGCCGCAAGGCCCUGCCGGACUCCGGCUCCGGGGAGAACUCCGGCGCGGGCAGCGUCUCUGCGGAGCAGCACACGGGCUGACCCGGGCGCCCAGCGGCUGGCUCGGCCCUAACGCGUGGUCUGGCCUCGCGCUCUUUGCCUUGGCUGAGUCUUCUGCCCGCAAUGACCUGGCCAGCUUCCUCCCUCGCCUCCUCCGGGCCCGCCCCACCUUUGCAUCCCAGUCCUUGGAUAUCUCACACGCACCCUUUCACUGUUUCUUAGUAAUUUGUUUGUCUACAGACACAGACGGGAAGCGGGGACGGGGACAUGUUUUGUGCAUGGCUUGAUGCCUGGUGCACGAUGCCGCUCAGUAGUGGAUUUGCUCCACGAGCGUCUUCUGAGCACCGCCCCAAUGCCCGCCCCACGGAGGGGCCCCUGUGGUCCGCUGGGCAUGGGGUUCGCUGUCCGGUGCUCAGAGUUUGCUAAAUACCAUCAGGUCCAAGGCAAGCGAGCGGAGGAGCUGCCUCAGCAGAGGCCCUCAGUGCUCACCUAGACCUGGCAGCUGGGAUGGGACCUGCCAGGUGGUGCCCCCUGUGGCCUGGGCCAGACCUGUUCACCCAGUUAUUCCCUGUGGGGCCUGAAGGUUGUCACGCUCAUCAUCAUAUUUGCAGUUUAGGACCCUGAAUCGGCGGGUGGGCGGAUAAAGUUGGUAUUGGACCCUGGCCCAGAGCACUGCACUUCCCCAGACUCUACACCUGGUACUGCUCCUGCUCCCCAGGGACCCAGCCGCGUCCCUGUCCCUGCUGGCCCCGGCUCACCAUCGCUCAGAAUCAGCUCGACCGGCGCGCUGUCCCCGGACCAGCCGUUUUGGUUGUCAUGCAGCCGGUAGCGGCAGGUGUAGUGACCUCCAUCCCCCAGGGCCACCGCGUUCAGGUGAAAGAAGAUGCGAUCUGGGCUGGUGCUGCUCCUGGGUACCAGCAGCUCUUUCUCCCCGCGCCGUAGCUGGAAGUCCACUCCACUCAGGGGAGCCACGCAGGUGAGGGUCACCUUGUUGCCAGGGUGCAGGACCUGGGAGGACUCUCCAUGGUGCAUCAGCACAGGCGGUGGUGGUGCAGCUGCAAUGCAGGCAGCAUUACUAGGCUGCCCCAUCCCUGGAGCUGCCCUCUGCCCAGUCCCCAGACCUCUGCCCUCCGGGUGGCAAUCCCAGGAACACCCUUCCAUUCUUUUUUUUUUUUUUUUUUGAAACGGAGUUUCGCUCUUGUUGCCCAGGCUGGAGUGCAGUGGCGCCACUCAGCUCACUGCAAGCUCUGCCUCCCAGGUUCAAGGGAUUCUCCUGCCUCAGCCUCCUGAGUAGCUGGUACUACAGGCACCUGCCACCACACCUGGCUAAUUUUUGUAUUUUUAGUAGAGACGGGGUUUCGUCAUGUUGGGUAGACUGGUCUCGAUCUCUUGACCUCAUGAUCCGCUGGCCUCAGCCUCCCAAAGUGCUGGGAUUAUAGGCGUGAGCCACCGCACCCGGCCUCACCCUUCCAUUCUUUGGGCAUCCUCUGCCCAAACUCCUUUGCAACCAUCAGACCCAGGCAACCGUGUGGCCAGCUUCCUGGACCUGGUCCUGGGCAAGGACAUUCAGCAUGGAGGUCAGGAUGAAUGUGGUCAUGCCCCCUGUAUCCUCCUCCCCCAGCAGCCCCCAGAGAUGGUUCCCACAGUCACCGAGCUCCUCAAUGGUCACAGUAGCGCUGGGCUCAGAGAGGGCGCCUUCCCCAUCGGUCCGGUAGCUGCAGCUGUAGUUGCCAGGCUGAUGGACUGGAAAGGUGGCCUCCACAUCCUCCUGGGCCUCAGGCACCUCCAGAAACUCAUGGUCGCCCUCCCGCCUCAGCAGAAAAGUCACACCCCGCAGCACACCUCGGCACACUGCUGUUGUUUUCAGGCCGGGGGUGAUCCAGGACACUGGCGCCAUCGAGAGCCAGGGAGCAGGCAAGGACUCUGUGGGUGGGGUGGAGUUGAAGAGUGCUUCUGCAUAACAGGAGACGUGGGAAGCCCAGCAGAACCUGGGCCCCACACUCAUAAGACUGUGAAGGAGACAGGGAUGGAGGGCAUUGCUGGGAAAAGGCAGGCAGGCACCAGUGGAAACAAGGCAUACGGCAAGAGAAAAAGAGUGUGUGGGAGCUGUACGGCAUGCCGGGCCUGCUGGGGACACAACCAUGUAUUCCUUACAACACAGACAUCAUCCCCAUUUGACAGAUGGGAAGAUUGGGGCUUGGGGCUCAGAGACAUCGGGUGACUUGGAGGAAGGGAGACCCCCCAGUCAACAACCUACCCACUGCCUCCUGGCCCCCAAUUCAUGCCCCGGCUCACUUGGCCCUGUCAGCUCCAGGAGCUUGCUCAGCUGGGUCCAUCCUGUGGACAAGCCCGAGCGGCAGCGGUAGCGGCCCUGGGUGUCACCCGUCAGCAGGAACUGGUGCUUGAUGGCAGGUGAGUCAAGGUGCACAGGCUCCUGGGCCACCCCAUUCUUGAACAGCUGGAAGUCUGGAGUCUCCAGGUGGGCCUGGCACGUCAGCGUCACAUUGGCCAAGGGUUUCAGCAGUGAUUCGGACUCUGCCCACAGGCUGGGCUGCGUCUCAUAAACUGCAAGGGGUGGCUGGGAUCAGCUCAGUGCCACAGAGACAGGGCUCCCCCCCGGCCUGGGCCCACCAUUCCCAGACCUCACCCCUGCACUCACAUAUGGCUGCUUCUGUCACUGGGCCCCAGGUGACACCUGCGGAGACAGCCCCCGUAAGGCUCCUGUUCCCGCCCCCUCCCGCCCCAGGGACCCAGACCCCAGGAGGCCUCACCCCACAGCAAGAGAAAGACCACGAGCAUGGACAUGAUGGUCGCGCUCACUCCGGUGCAGUGAGUGUCUGGGUGAUGGAUCCUAGAACCUGUUCUAGAAGGAGACGCUGAGUUCUCCCCACUCUACCUGGAGCUGCUGAGGUCAAGUGGAGAGUGCCGGGGCUGAAGCCCAGCGAGCCCCUCCCUGUCACACCACACUGCACAUGUGACACCAAAGGUGGGGUUCACCUCUUUUCAGACUUUCUGCGGUUGCCCUCACAUGGGCUGUCUGGAGGUGCACCCUCACUCUUCCUGAGGACUGUGGUUCCUUCUCCAUCACUGGUUCAUUCUGCAUGGUGUGACCCACCACGGCUCUGGAGUCGGAUUUCCACCCAGGUCAUUCAGCUGAGACCUGCGCUUCCCAGGCCUACCCGUGACAUGUGCUCAGUUACCUGAGCUGCUGGUGGUCACUCAUGUGGCUAUAGCCUGCUGCCUGGAGGCCAGGCCUCCCGCUUCCCCUGCCUCCCCCUCUCCUCACCACAGCCUGUUGGGAUGGAACAGGACAGGGGUGAGACCGUGGUGCUUUCACACUCAGCCUCCAUGGACAUCCUGUCAUUCCCACCCGGGGAGGUCUGGUCCCCACCCUGGGUGUCCCAGCCUAGCUCCGCUACGAGUGUGAGGGCCCAGGGCAACCGCCUAGCCCUCAUCUGCCCCCUGCACUGCAUCCUCCCCACUCAUUCAUUCCACAGGCAUUUAUUGAGCAUCUACUGUGUGCCAGAUGCAAAGAAGACAGUGGGAUAACUGGGCAAGGAGCAUUCCAGGCAGAGGGAACAGCCAGUGCAAACAUGGGAGAUGCGGGUGCAGUGAGAAGGAGCAGAGGAGACCAGGAGUUGAGGCGACUGCAGAGCGAUUGCAGAGCUCAUAGACGUGAUGAAGACCAGCUGGGCACUGCAGCGGCUCUGGCUUCUGCUGUGAGGGACGGGGAGCUGUGGAGACUCCCUCUGUUUGGUCCCAUUUCCAUAUUGCUGAGCACCUGCUGCAUGCUCUCUGUCCUGCUCAGAGCCAGUACCUGGAUGGAGGCUGUGUGUUCUGGGUGGACUGGGGGAGAAUGCAUUCUUUGCAGAAGAGACAACCAGGUGCUGAGGCCUGAAGUCAUAACCAGACCUGGGGCACUCAGACAAGGACUGGUGGCCAGGCCAGAGGAGCAGAGCUCAGGGUGUGCACAGAACUCAGAAGUCAGACCACUGAACAGUGACAGAACCUUUCAGCCCAUUGGCAAUGAGGCUGCCCAGGCAGCCAGAGGCCUGGUCAAAUCUGAGGUCUGCAGAGAUGGAGCUGUCAUUCUGUGUUUCCUUUGGCAGUCCCAACACCAGCCUCGUUGCACCCUCCUCUUAGCUUCCCUGGGUUCUCCAGCCCUAAGGGUGGUAGCAGCUUCCUGCAAGUAUCCAGCUCUGAGAUUCUGCAACAUCCACUUUUGCUCUCUGAGCCUUGCAAAACCUGCACAAUCAGUCCCUAACUUAUAUCCCCUCUGUUUGAAAUACCUAGUGUGGUUUCUAUUUCCUGACUUGACUCUGACUGGUGUGGUACUUGGUAUAAAGAAGGUUCCCUGGCCAGGUGCGGUGGCUCACGCCUAUAAUCCCAACGCUUUGGGAGGCUGAGGCAGGAGGAUCACUUGAGCCCAGGAGUUUUGAGACCCGCCUAGGCAACAUGGUGAGACACUGUCCUUACAAAAAAUUUUAAAAUUAGCCAGGUGUAGUGACGCAAGUCUGUCAUCCCAGCUGCUUGGGAGGCUGAGGUGGGAGGAUCACCUGAGCCUAAGAAGUCGCGGCUGCAAUAAACAGUGAUUGCACCACUGCACUCCAGCCUGGGUGACAGAGUGAAACCCUGCCCCCUCCCCCAAAAAAGAAAAGUCCCAUGAAACAGACCUACACAGGUGAGAUUCUGAGAUUGAUCUGGUUCUGACCUCGGUCAGGAAUGCAGUGCUGAGCUUCUUGCCAACAGAAUAUGAGACACUAGAAAGCCAUAGCAUGCGGUUUCAUCAUGUUUAACUGUCACCUGUGGUUGCCUGAGAUGAAGUGCUGACUGAAGCGAGCACCUUAGGAGACACAGUGGCCACUGCACUGAGCAGCUGGUAGCAGCAGUGGUGACCAUGUGGACUGGGGGGUGGGUUGGCUGCUUUUGACAGUGCCAGAGAACUCAAAGAAAUAGCCACACCUGUCGGAGACCCCAGUUCUUGCCCACCUCUGCAUGGACGAACCUCUCGCCGAAGUGGAGCCUGCCGCCCUCCCUGGGGUAAGAGCCCAUCCUACAUGUCCCCAGACAGGCCUGGGUGGCCGGUGGACUAUCGUCAAAGGGACUGUGCAGCCAGGGUUCUCCACACCCAAGGCCGCCCCUGCACUCCCAGCAGGAGGGCGCCCGCACCGGCGGCCCGAAAAAGUCUGGGCCAGCAGACAGCGCACUCACGCCCGAGACCCCGCAAUGCCGUGUGUCCGCGACCUCCCGCUCAGGGCGUCCUCGGGUCAGGGCGCAGCGCGGCCCCCGUGCCGCUUCUGGUGCUCGUUGAGGUUGCAACGGUGGCUGAAAGGCUUCCCGCACUCGCCGCAAGCGUAGGGCCUCUCGCCCGUGUGCGUGCGCCGGUGGCUUAAGAGCUCCGACUUGCGCACGAAGGCCUUGCUGCAGUGGGCGCAGACGAACGGCCUCUCGCCAGAGUGCAGGCGCUGGUGCUGGCGCAGCUCGGAGCUGCCGCGGAAGGCCUUGCCGCAUUCUGCGCAGGCGAAGGGUCGCUCUCCCGUGUGCGAAAGCCGGUGGUGCGCCAGGCCGGAACUGCCGCGGAAGGCCUUGCCGCAGUCGGCGCAGGCGAAGGGCUUGGCGCCCGAGUGCGUGCGCCGGUGGCUCAGUAGGUUGGAGCGCUGGCUGAAGGCCUUGCCGCACUGGGCGCACGCAUGAGGCUUCUCGCCCGUGUGCACGCGCCGGUGCUCCGCCAGGUAGGAGCCCAUGACGAAAGCCUGGCCGCACUCGGCGCACUCGAAGGGCCGCUCACCAGUGUGCGUGCGCUGGUGCUGCAGGAGCUGCGAGCUCUCGCGGAAAGCCUUUCCGCACUCGGCGCAGGGGAAGGGCUUCUCGCUGCUGUGCGUGCGCCGGUGCUGCCGCAGCCCCGCCACACGCACGAAGGCCUUGCCGCAGUCGGGACAGGCGUGUGGCCGUGCGCCCGCGUGGAUCUUCAGGUGCUCGGCCAGGUUGGAGCUCUGGCUGAAGGCCUUGCCACAGUCCCGGCAGGCGUGCGGCCGCGCGCCCGUGUGCACGCGCCGGUGCUCCAGGAAAUUGGAGUUCCAGCUGAAGGCCUUGCCGCACUCCGGGCACUCGUAGGGCUUCUCGCCCGUGUGCGUGCGUCGGUGCUGCACCAGCGUGGUGCUUCGGCCGAAGGACUUGCCGCAGUCCGGGCAGCGGAAGGGCUUCAGGCCGCUGUGUGUCUCCUGGUGGUGGAUGAGCUGCGAGUGCGCGCGGAAGGCCUUGCCGCACUCCCUGCAAGCGUAGGGCUUCUCGCCGCUGUGGAUGCGCUGGUGCUGGCUGAGGUUGGAGCUCCAGGCGAAGGCCUUGCCGCACUCGGGGCACGUGUACGGCUUCUCGCCUGUGUGCACGCGCCGAUGCUGCAGCAAGUAAGAGCCCUGGCUGAACGCCUUGCCGCACUCCCCGCACCGGCAGCCCGGCUCCUCUGGGAGAGGCGAAGGGCGCAACGCCCGGUCUGCAGGCUCGCUCCUGGGCCCAGCCCCGUCCCGCCCACCGUCUGCGGGGCCCAGCUCCCUGCCGGGGCCUCCCUGUUCGUCCGCCGCCCCCAGUGUGGCUUGCUGCCGCUGGCCGUCCCCUGCCUCCCUCGGAACCUCCGUGGAGUUUUCCCAGGCCCCCCAGCCUCCAGACACAGCCCCCUCAGAGAGGCCCCUCGUGGCAGUCUUCACAUUGCAGAGGACCUGGCCUUCCUCUGGGGCCACCUGCAGGGUCCACCCUCUUGGGGACUCCAUCUCGCGCCUGUGACCUAAAACAGGAGAGAAAAGGGUGGGGCCCCAAGUGUCAAGAAGGUGGAGACUCCAGUUUGUGAGGAACACGAUGGACCCGUCUCCAUUCCUGAAGGCUGGAGGACACCGCCUGACCCAAACACAGCUAUGUCUGCCUCACCCACUCCACCCUGGCCGGAUCCCUGGGUAGUCCCCUCCACACAGUAUGGGCAGCAUGUCCAGGCUGGAGGAUCUCAGUGGCUGUUACCCAGGCAAUGUCCACACCAGGCCUCUGUGCAGGUCAGACCAGGUGGUCCAAGGCAUGGGGUGGCUGUGCAGCCCAGAUCCCUGAGAGAGAGAGAGGCCAAGGGUGGGAGGGCCUCCUUGGUCCUAAGGCCAUGCCUGCCUGUCCAGCCGAUCCUUCCCACAGCGAAGUCUCUACAGCGAGCAAAACCCAUCCUCAUUUGCCCUGAGCACCUUAUCAUCCUUGUGUAGUCUCCAGCCCCGCUGCCAAGGCAGGGCAGGGACAAGUGUGUAGAUGGUGCCAUACCUGGAGGUGGGGCCUGGAAGGGGCCCAGGGGAGCCUCUUGCUCCUCUCCCUCCUCUGUCCUGGGGACCAGCUCCUCUUGGGGCCUGGGGGCUGGCACCUGGGGACAGGAAGGCAGCAGGGCAGGGUGAGGUGUUCAGCCUAGCAGAUCUGAGAAAACAAGGGGCAUGCGGUGGCAUGACCCACCCUUCUCUGCACCUUCAGUUCUCAGGACACAAUGCGGAGCACACAGGUGUGGACUGGAGAUCUCUGACUCUGCCGUCCAAGCCAAGACCACCAAACUCCCACCUGUCACCAUCACUUUCCCACAGCCCCCAGGCCCUCUCAGCCACCAACCCACGACUGGCCCCAGUGCUGGCUCAGCUGGGGUCGUGAGCAGGGGAAGCACACCCAGCCCCCAGACCAGCCCCCACUCAUCUGGAGUCCUGGCCCAGCUGACUCCUGCUGUAGCCGCUCUGCCAGGGCAGUGGCCUCCUCAGGGCUGCCUAGCCACUGCUCCUGCGUGUAGGCCUGGAUCUCUGGGAGCAGUGUGCCCAAUAACUGCUCCAGCACCAAGAGCUCCAGCAUCUGCUCCUUGGAGCAGGCCUCAGGCAUCAGCCACUGGCAACACAGCUCACGCAGCUGAGCCAGGGCCCCUCGGGGCCCUGCUGCCUUCUCAUAGCAGAACCCCCAGAAGCACUGGCCAGGGCUCUUGGAGCUGGGCUCACCCACCAUCAGUUCCAGUGGACUCGGGAAGACCUGGGGGGCCAGGGCUGAUGCCUCACUCAUCUGGGCAGCCAUCCUGCCCCUUUCCUGGGAGGGGAGUGCAGCUGCAUGGCCCAGGGUACUUUCUCUGCAGCUGGAAACACAAAGGUGAGCCUGUGAGCACAGCAAGGCCACGAAGGUCCCCUCCUUGGGACCACCUGAGACUGAGUAAAAAUGGAAGAAUGGGGGUAUCGGCGUUUCUGGCCCCCAGUGUCAGCAUCUUUGCCCACCUGUGUGUCCAGGUGCCUGAGGGACACACUGAGGUGCCAUGGCUGCUUGUACCAUCCCUUCCCCCCGCCUCCCCGCUUUUCUUGAGGGUCCCUGCCCUGCCCUGUCUCCUUGGCACCCUUCAUCCCACACACAGAACAACUAAGACAGAGACUGUGAACAGGACACCCAGAGUCAGACCAGCAGAUGGGUCCUGUUUGUCCCCUCCAGGAAGUGUUUUAAAAAUUUAAGUUAGGCCAAGUGCGGUGGCUGACGGCUGUAGUCCUAGCACUUUGGGAGGCCGAGGUGGGUGGAUCACGAGGUCAGCAAUUCCAAGACCAGCCUGGCCAACAUGGUGAAACCCCGUCUCUACUAAAAAUACAAAAAUUAGCCAGGCGUGGUGGCAGGCGCCUGUAAUCCCAGCUACUCGGGAGGCUGAGGCAGAGAACUGCUUGAACCCGGGAGGUGGAGGUUGCAGUGAGCCGAGAUCGCGCCACUGCACUCCAGCCUGGGUGACAAAGUGAGACUCUGUCUCAAAAAAAAAAAAAAGAGAAUAAAUACUGAUACAUACUACAAGAUGGAUGAAUCUUGAAAAUAUUAUGCUAAGUGUAAAUGAAAAAAUUCAGACACAAAAGACUUCAUAUUAUGUUAUUCCAUUUAUGUGAAAUGUCCAGAACAGAUAAGUCUGUAAGAGACAGAAAGUAGAUCAGCGGUUGCCAGGAUCUGCAGGGAAGAGAGAAAUGGGAGAUACAGCCGUGGGAGUGAUGAAAAUAUUCUGGAAUUAGUGGUGAUGACUGUGCAACACUGAAUAUACCAAAAACCACUGAAUUACACACUUUAAAAGGAUGAAUUGUAUGGUAUUUAUGUUUUUUAAAAAAGUUACCACCCAAUCCCAAAAGCUUAAAAACUGUAUGACUCCAUUUCUUUUUCUUUUUCUUUUUUUUUUUCUUUUGACAGGGUCUGGCUCUGUCAUCCAGGCUAGGGUGCAGUGGUGCAAUCUCAUCUCCCAGGCUCAAGCCAUCUUCCCACCUCAGCCUCCGAAGGAGCUGGGACAUCAAGUGCGUGCCACCAUACCCAGCUAAUUUUUUUAUUUUUUAUUUUUCUAUUUUUGAGACGGAGUUUCGCUCUUUCACCCAGGCUGGAAUGAAGUGGCGCAAUCUCGGCUCACUGCAACCUCUGCCCCCAGGAUUCAAGCGAUUCUCCUGCCUCAGCCUCCCCAGUAGCUGGGAUUACAGAUGCCUGCCAUCAGGCCUGGCUUAUUUUAUUUUAUUUUAUUUUAUUUUUUAGUAGAGAUGGGGUUUCACCAUGUUGGCCAGGCUGGUCCCGAACUCUUUUUUUUUUUUUUUUUUUUUUUUUUUUUUUUUGAGAAGAGUCUUGCUCUGUCGCCCAGGCUGGAGUCCAGUGGCGCUAUCCUGGCUCACUGCAAGCUCUGCCUCCCGGGUUCAUACCAUUCUCCUGCCUCAGCCUCCCAAGUAGCUGGGACUACAGGCGCCUGCCACCAUGCCCGGCUAAUUUUUUUAUAUUUUUGGUAGAGCCGGGGUUUCACCGUGUUAGCCAGGAUGGUCUCGAUCUCCUGACCUCGUGAUCCGCCCGCCUCAGCCUCCCAAAGUGCUGGGAUUACAGGCGUGAGCCACGGCACCCGGCCGGUGGGCCGGUCCUGAACUCUUGACCUCAGAUGGUCCACCCGCCUCGGCCUCCCAAAGUGCUAGUAUUACAGGCGCGAGACACCUCGCCCAGCCUAUGCAACAUUCGUAAAAUGACAAAAUGGUAGAAAUGAGAACAGAUUACUAGUUGACAAAAAGAGGUUAACGGGGAGCAGAGGUAGGAGGGAAGGGUAUGCGGCUCUGUAAGGGCAACACGGGGAUCCUUCGUGAUGGAAAUAUUCUGCAUCUCAGUUGUGAUAUUGUACUCUAGUUUUUCUUUCUCUUCUCUUUUUUUGAGACAGAGUCUCGCUCUGUUGCCCAGGUUGGAGUGCAGUGGCGUGAUGUGGGCUCACCGCGACCUCCGCCUCCUGGGUACAAGCGAUUCUCCUGCCUGAGACUCCCGAGUAGCUGGGAUUACAGGCACCAGCCUCCACACCCGCCUAAUUUUUGUGUUUUCAGUACAGAUGGGGUUUCACCAUGUUGCUCAGGCUGGUCUUUAACUCCUGAGCUCAAGGGAUCCACCCGCCUUGGCCUCCCAAAGUGCUGGGAUUACAGACAUGAGCCACCGCACCUGGCCUCUAGUUUUUCAAGAUGCCACCUUUAGGGGAAUUGGGUAAAGCGUACAUAGGGUAUGCAUUACUUGUUACUGCAUGUGAAUUUAUAAUUACCUCAAAUCAAAAGUUAAAUUUUAAAAAAACGACAUCUGAUUUCAAUAAAAAUCCAUAUUUGUGUAUUGAAGUAUCAGAAA